AACGAACGCUGGCGGCAGGCUUAACACAUACAAGUCGAACGCCCCGCAAGGGGAGUGGCAGACGGGUGAGUAACGCGUGGGAACAUACCCUUAUCUUCGGAACAACUCCGGGAAACUGGAGCUAAUACCGAAUGUGCCCUUCGGGGGAAAGAUUUAUCGGAUAAGGAUUGGCCCGCGUUGGAUUAGCUAGUUGGUGGGGUAAAGGCCUACCAAGGCGACGAUCCAUAGCUGGUCUGAGAGGAUGAUCAGCCACAUUGGGACUGAGACACGGCCCAA
This 276-nucleotide ribosomal RNA is filed under the name uncultured Agrobacterium sp. RNAcentral describes it as "partial 16S ribosomal RNA". It matches the Rfam family "Bacterial small subunit ribosomal RNA", at positions 29 to 334 of the family's 1533-position model. Lineage: Bacteria; Pseudomonadati; Pseudomonadota; Alphaproteobacteria; Hyphomicrobiales; Rhizobiaceae. The record is from RNAcentral.